UACAGAGGGUGCAAGCGUUAAUCGGAAUUACUGGGCGUAAAGGGUGCGUAGGCGGCGCGGUAAGUCGGGUGUGAAAUCUCGGAGCUUAACUCCGAAACUGCAUUCGAUACUGCCGUGCUUGAGGACUGGAGAGGAGACUGGAAUUUACGGUGUAGCGGUGAAAUGCGUAGAUAUCGUAAGGAAGACCAGUGGCGAAGGCGGGUCUCUGGACAGUUCCUGACGCUGAGGCACGAAGGCCAGGGGAGCAAACGGG
This 253-nucleotide ribosomal RNA is filed under the name uncultured bacterium. RNAcentral's name for it is "partial 16S ribosomal RNA". It matches the Rfam family "Bacterial small subunit ribosomal RNA", at positions 524 to 776 of the family's 1533-position model. The record is from RNAcentral.